CCUACGGAUGGCUGCAGUGAGGAAUAUUGGUCAAUGGACGAGAGUCUGCACCAGCCAAGCAGCGUGAAGGAUGACUGCUCUAUGGGUUGUAAACUUCUUUUAUAUGGGAAUAAAACAGGGUAUGCAUACCCUCUUGUAUGUACCAUAUGAAUACGGAUCGGCUAACUCCGUGCCAGCAGCCGCGGUAAUACGGAGGAUCCGAGCGUUAUCCGGAUUGAUUGGGUGUAAAGGGAGCGUAGGUGGAUUGUUAAGUCAGUAGUGAAAGUUUGAGGCUCAACCGUGGAAUUGCAGUUGAAACUGGCAGACUUGAGUACAGGAGAGGUGAGCGGAAUUCGUGGUGUAGCGGUGAAAUGCGUAGAUAUCACGAAGAACUCCGGUUGCGAAGGCAGCUUACUGGACUGCAACUGACACUGAGGCUCGAAAGUGUGGGGAGCAAACAGGAUUAGAUACCCGGGUAGUC
RNAcentral lists this ribosomal RNA (460 nucleotides) under uncultured bacterium. Its description in RNAcentral is "partial 16S ribosomal RNA". It matches the Rfam family "Bacterial small subunit ribosomal RNA", at positions 338 to 795 of the family's 1533-position model. The record is from RNAcentral.